AAUGAGAAGAGACACAUUCUGAUACGCUACUUCGGAGUUUAUACAGGUGAGAAGUCGAAGAAGGUACCAGCGAAGGUCAAGGGGAAAGCUGGCCGCGAAAACUUGGUUUCUGCGCAGCCGCGGUACGUCGUGGAGCAGAGCCCCCUACAUCACUCAGGACGUGUUUUCCAGGCAGCGCAUUUUCUCCUCGUGGCAAAACCCCUUGAACUGUUGCACACUUUGCGAGGUGCCUGGCUCGUGCUGACAAGGAUGGAGAGGCAACCAGUGCUGAACCACAUCAUUUUCCGCGGGUCAAGGUGAAUGCUGACUACUGACGAUCACAUCAAAUAAAGGAUUUUUGGCAUAAAAUUGAUAGUACA
This 359-nucleotide long non-coding RNA is filed under the name Vulpes vulpes (red fox). RNAcentral describes it as "lncRNA (ENSVVUG00000023038.1)". The record is from RNAcentral. Lineage: Eukaryota; Metazoa; Chordata; Mammalia; Carnivora; Canidae.